Xiphophorus hellerii (green swordtail) is the source of this 1192-nucleotide long non-coding RNA. RefSeq lists it as uncharacterized. The record is from RefSeq and is a predicted model, not a curated record. The transcript is spliced from 3 exons. NCBI's taxonomy places the organism in Eukaryota, Metazoa, Chordata, Actinopteri, Cyprinodontiformes, Poeciliidae.
UAUAAGAAAAGAAAUAGUUGAAAUGUUGAUAUUAUUUGUCUUAUAUACUGUCAACAUUAGAAGAGUGAAAUACUAUAAAUUUUACAUCAAUGUCCAAAUAUGGUCUCUAAUAAAUAUGUUGAUAUUAAGAUGACAUUUAUUAAGAAUAUUAUAGACUUAGCUAUUGAGUUAUUUACAUAUAUAUGUAAUCUCUCAUUUAUUAAAGGGGUUUUCCCAAGACGUUAUUAAAAUUGUUAAAAUAAUACCACUUUACAAAGGUGUCAGGUUCUUGGAUUUUUGUGUCAGUGUGAGUGCUCUUUCCUCUGACAGGAUCUUUGUGUAAACCAUGCAGACUGGCACACCUGCUGCUGGUUCUGACAAUCAGCAGGCAGAAGUAAUAAGAAGCUGUGGAGCAGUUGCUCGCUUCAUGGUCCCACAUAGUUAAAGUCAAGCCUUUGUCAUGUUUAUGUCCAAGGUGAACGAUAUAGGAGUUUUUUCAUGGUUGCACUUUCCUAUGCUUACCUCUCUUUGCUGGACAGACUUAUGAUGUUUUUGGAAUCGUGUCUUUGGCUCAUCCUCUCCAUAGAUCUGGCUUCAAGCAAAGCUCGAGACCUCACAGCCUGCCUGCUCUGCCUGGCUGUUUCCACCUUUCCUCCCCUGACUCACCAGGCACCAAGCUCCCCCUUCUGGUUCACCGUGGACAAAAAUCUGAGUUUUUCCGCCACCUCCUGAAUUCCACAAACACCUUCAAUCUCUUUUGUAAAUAAAUCACAACAAACUGUGUGUCAUGUCUGCAUGUGGGUCAAGACAUUACUUCAAAACAAGGGGAAAAAGUGGAAAUAAACAUGAAUACUGUAAUUCUAUGAAAAACCUCACUGCUUCCAUAGUUUUCAAACAUUCUAUAGACAUUGUAGUAUCUGUAAAACACAUAAAUUCCAUGUUUAUUUGUUGUUUGUUUUAGUUUGUUUGAUUUUGCAGAAGAGGGCUGUUUGAGUCAUAAGUGGAAGUGCAUACAGAGAUCACACGAGCCCAAUAUUUAUACUGUUAAACUUAUUGAAACUUCAUGAAUGGACAGAGCACUCUAUAUGAUGAAUAUUUUAAAAUCUAUGUACAAAGUGCAUAAGCUUUUACCAACAAAUAUUUAAAACAUAUUUGUAAAGAGAGAAAGCAAAACAAAUAUGAUGAUGAUUAAGUAAAAAUGGCAUUAAAUUGA